CUGUAGGUAAAUCCGCAGCGCACAUAGCCUGAGACCUGAUGGUGACCCCGUAAGGGGGAAGUAGGGUGAUCCCAUGCUGCCUAGAAAAGCCUCGGCGCGAGGUUCGAGCCGCCCGUACCCUAAACCGACUCAGGUGGUCAGGUAGAGAAUACCAAGGCGAUCGAGUGAAUCGUGGUUAAGGAACUCGGCAAAAUGCCCCCGUAACUUCGGGAGAAGGGGGGCCUGAGGCGUGAAGCUCUUUACGGGCUAGCGUUUGAGGGCCGCAGAGACCAGGGGGAAGCGACUGUUUACUAAAAACACAGGUCCGUGCCAAGUCGCAAGACGAUGUAUACGGACUGACGCCUGCCCGGUGCUGGAACGUUAAGGGGACCGGUUACUGCACCUUGUGUGUGGGAAGCUGAGAACUUAAGCGCCAGUAAACGGCGGUGGUAACUAUAACCAUCCUAAGGUAGCGAAAUUCCUUGUCGGGUA
Molecule: ribosomal RNA, 471 nt
Filed under: Crypthecodinium cohnii
Lineage: Eukaryota; Dinophyceae; Gonyaulacales; Crypthecodiniaceae
Description: partial Bacterial large subunit ribosomal RNA
Rfam family: Bacterial large subunit ribosomal RNA
Source: RNAcentral